AAUUUUGGACAAUGGGGGAAACCAUGAUCCAGCCAUCCCGCGUGUAUGAUGAAGGCCGUCGGGUUGUAAAGUACUUUUGGCAGAGAAGAAAAGGUAUCUCCUAAUACGAGAUACUGCUGACGGUAUCUGCAGAAUAAGCCCCGGCUAACUACGUGCCAGCCGCCGCGGUAAUACGUAGGGUGCAAGCGUUAAUCGGAAUUACGGGGCGUAAAGCGUGUGUAGGAGGUUCGGCAAGAAAGAUGUGAAAUCCCCCGUCUCAACCUUGGAACUGCAUUUUUAACUGCCGAGCUAGAGUAGGUCAGAGGGGGGUAGAAUUCCACGUGUAGCAGUGAAAUGCGUAGAUAUGUGGAGGAAUACCGAUGGCGAAGGCAGCCCCCUGGGAUAAUACUGACGCUCAGACACGAAAGCGUGGGGAGCAAACAGG
This 424-nucleotide ribosomal RNA is filed under the name uncultured bacterium. Its description in RNAcentral is "partial 16S ribosomal RNA". It matches the Rfam family "Bacterial small subunit ribosomal RNA", at positions 360 to 776 of the family's 1533-position model. The record is from RNAcentral.